Non-coding RNA from Pelobates cultripes (western spadefoot toad), 215 nucleotides. The record is from the annotation of a GenBank genome assembly. Lineage: Eukaryota; Metazoa; Chordata; Amphibia; Anura; Pelobatidae.
GGAUCUGUUUACAAACCAUUGAUAUUUAACAGAUAUUCUAAAAUGUCUUCAGUGUUGGGGGUGUGGGACUGUUAAUGCACUGGGUAACCUACUGCAGGGGUGCCAAAGAGGUAGAUCCCCAGAUGUUGUAGAACUACAAUUCCCACUAUGCUAUGCAUGCCUUUAGAAUGACAAAGCUUAAUGGCAGCCGCAGUUUUAAAACAUCUGGGGAUAUA